CUAUAAACAUUGAUGUGGCUGUGUCCCUGCAGUACGCUGUUUUUAAGUCCUUUGGGUAUAGACUGAGGAGAGGGAUAGCUGGGUCAAAUGGUGUUCCAUUCACAGUUUUCCAAGGAAUCUCCAUACUGCUUUCCAAAUUGGCCGCACCAAUUUGCAGUCCCACCAGCAAUGUAUUUCAUGCUAGUUUGGACACACCUGUUACAAAGCUGUGUCACACAUAUUCUCCUUUUUAAGCCCUGCAGUUAUUUCUUGUUAAAAUAGCCAUAGGAAGUUGGGCUUUCAAUGAGAUUAUUGUCUUUGGGGACAACUCAGUUUAAUUAAUAACUACCUACCUGCAACGGCCUAACUGAUCCAACAGUUUGGAGAAAGCUAAUGGUGUUCAAGCGACUGGUACCUCUGAACAAAGGAGCUCUGGAAGCAGGCUGGCAGAGACUGGCCUUUGCUACAUGGGACCCAUGAGGAGCCUAAUGGGGUCAUUAGGGGCCCUCAUAUGAGGAGCCAGCAUCUGCUUGCACAGGAAGAGGA
Molecule: long non-coding RNA, 525 nt
Filed under: Marmota monax (woodchuck)
Lineage: Eukaryota; Metazoa; Chordata; Mammalia; Rodentia; Sciuridae
Source: RNAcentral